GAUGAACGCUGGCGGCGUGCCUAAUACAUGCAAGUCGUACGAGAAAGGGUCCUUCGGGACCUGAGUAAAGUGGCGCACGGGUGAGUAGCGCGUGGAUAAUCUACCCUUCAGUUGGGAACAACUCAUCGAAAGGUGGGCUAAUACCGAAUAAUACUGCUCGACCUUGGUCGAGCAGCCAAAGAGAGCCUCUGCUUGCAAGCCCUCGCUGAAGGAUGAGUUCGCGUACCAUUAGCUUGUUGGUAGGGUAAUGGCCUACCAAGGCGACGAUGGUUAGCUGGUCUGAGAGGAUGAACAGCCACACUGGAAAUGAGACACGGUCCAGACUCCUACGGGAGGCAGCAGUGAGGAAUCUUGCGCAAUGGGGGAAACCCUGACGCAGCAACGCCGCGUGAGUGAGGAAGGUCUUCGGAUCGUAAAGCUCUGUCAGUUGGAAAGAAAUGUCUGAGAGUCAAUCCCUUUCAGGCUUGACGGUACCAACAGAGGAAGCACCGGCUAACUCCGUGCCAGCCGCCGCGGUAA
This 519-nucleotide ribosomal RNA is filed under the name uncultured bacterium. RNAcentral's name for it is "partial 16S ribosomal RNA". It matches the Rfam family "Bacterial small subunit ribosomal RNA", at positions 28 to 523 of the family's 1533-position model. The record is from RNAcentral.